GCAUGGUUGUCGUCAGCUCGUGCCGUGAGGUGUCGGGUUAAGUCCCAUAACGAGCGCAACCCUACCUUUAGUUGCCAUCAGGUAAUGCUGGGGACUCUAAAGGAACUGCCUACGCAAGUAGUGAGGAAGGCGGGGAUGACGUCAAAUCAGCACGGCCCUUACGUCCAGGGCUACACACGUGCUACAAUGGCCGAUACAGAGGGCAGCUACCUGGUGACAGGAUGCAAAUCUCCAAAGUCGGUCUCAGUUCGGAUCGGAGUCUGCAACCCGACUCCGUGAAGUUGGAUUCGCUAGUAAUCGCGCAUCAGCCAUGGCGCGGUGAAUACGUUCCCGGGCCUU
RNAcentral lists this ribosomal RNA (339 nucleotides) under uncultured Sphingobacteriales bacterium. RNAcentral describes it as "bacterial SSU rRNA". It matches the Rfam family "Bacterial small subunit ribosomal RNA", at positions 1043 to 1382 of the family's 1533-position model. Lineage: Bacteria; Pseudomonadati; Bacteroidota; Sphingobacteriia; Sphingobacteriales. The record is from RNAcentral.